CACGUUUCCUGCCGUUUGGAAUAAAACUGGCCCUUGUAGGAGCGUGGGGGGUGCAGCGUGUGUAACAGAGCCAGCGCCUUGGGGCUUUUCCCUUGGGCGUAGGAAGCCAACCAGAGCUCUGUUGCCCUCGGCGUCCACCCAGGUCCGUUCUGUCACCACCGCUGCCUGCCUGCCUGCCUUGGGGGCGGGACUUCAGCGGCAGGCGGGCUCGGCGCUGCCGAAGGCGGCUACCCGCGGCGUGGGUUAGACGCUGCUGGCGGAGACCCGCCUGCACCGACCCAGCCAGCCCCCGGGCCCAGCCCGGCUGCCGCUUCCUCGUCUCCGGGCUCUGGAGCACUGCCAGCACUGAGCUCACCCGGAAAGGAAGUGCAGGCAGUGGGGAGGAAGUGCCUGACUGCAGACAGUAACAUGAUGCAGCUACAGCAGCAGGACUGUUUUUCUUCUGAAAGACAGCCAGGUAGCACCAGAAGAAUUCAUCAGAAGAAGAAACUUUGUAUGAGAAAAAAGAAAGGUGCCUCGGAUUAGGCCUCAGUUGGUUCAAAAAGGGCCAAAAACUCUUCCUCCAAGAAAAUCAAGCUUGUCUGCAAAGAGUUAUCCAACCAUCCACCUUAGAGAUGCAAUACUCAGAAGAAUCGAAAAAACCUUCUGCAAGGGACAGAUGGACAACAGGACAGUGUGCUGCCUUCCUGGAGCCAAGACACAGGAUGCCACUCUAAGACUGGAUAGGCUUCUGAAGUUGAUAGGUGAGGAUCCACUGGCAGUUGUUCAUAUCGGCAAUAAUGACAGUGCAUUGCGGGAUAUCUUGCAGAUAGUAGAUGACUUCGAGGAAUUCAGAGGCAUGCUGAAGAAGAAUAAUUUUGAAAUGAUCGUGUCUGAGAUUCUUCAUGUUCUACAAGUGGAGGAAGACAGUCAGCAGAAGAUUGUUAGCUAGGUAAUCCUGAAACUUGGAAAAUCACAAAAGAAACAUGAGUGCCAGAGGACAAGCACACAAAGAUGAAUAUAGAUAAGUAUUUUUAAAAUCUACUGUGCAACUAUUACAUCUUUUGAAAAUGUAAAUAUACUUUUCACACAUGCAAAUAUUUACAUGUGUUUUGUCCACACUCUUUGAAAAUGGAGCCUUAGAGACGUAGAUUAAAUCCAUUGUAACAGAACUGUGACUAACUAGGAUUACAAUAAUCACUGUACUGUCCACUAUGGCCAAGUCUUAAAAUCAUGACUUCAAAAGUAUAGCCCCUUACCAGUCAAAUUAAAUGAGACUCUUCUUUCACAAAAAGGUGCAUAAUACCUGUGAACUGGUCUGAUCUUCCAUCCAAUUAGAGGUAGCUAGAACCCACUUGACUGAAAGGAGAGGUAGGCGUUGGCAGGACAUUUUCCAUGAAGAAUCCACAGCUAUGGAAUUUGCUUCCCCAUCAGAGCUCAGAUUUGUUAACUCCAGGAUGUGCUGUAUGACCCAUCUUUUCUUGGGCAUAGGGGAGCAAGCAGAUUAAGAUGUUGGGAUAUUUUGUGUUUGUGUUUGAGUGGUUAUUGGGGGGAGAGGCUAGUUUGAUUUUACUAUUUGU
Molecule: long non-coding RNA, 1559 nt
Organism: Dermochelys coriacea (leatherback sea turtle)
Lineage: Eukaryota; Metazoa; Chordata; Testudines; Dermochelyidae
Exons: 4
Source: RefSeq, a predicted model, not a curated record